AGGAUUAUAGUUUUAAAAAAAACAUUUAAUUUGCAAUUAAAAAAUAUUGAUUUAAUCAAUUUAUCUU
This 67-nucleotide transfer RNA is filed under the name Cypoides chinensis. Its description in RNAcentral is "tRNA-Ala". Lineage: Eukaryota; Metazoa; Arthropoda; Insecta; Lepidoptera; Sphingidae. The record is from RNAcentral.